UUCGGUCAAUUGAAGCUUUGACUUAGUGGCGGACGGGUGAGUAACACGUGAGCAACCUGCCUUUCAGAGGGGGAUAACGGCUGGAAACGGUCGCUAAUACCGCAUGAUGUGUUCGGAUGGCAUCAUCUGAACAUCAAAGAUUUAUCGCUGAAAGAUGGACCCGCGUCUGAUUAGCUUGUUGGUGGGGUAACGGCCUACCAAGGCGACGAUCAGUAGCCGGCCUGAGAGGGUGAACGGCCACAUUGGGACUGAGACACGGCCCAAACUCC
RNAcentral lists this ribosomal RNA (269 nucleotides) under uncultured Eubacteriales bacterium. RNAcentral describes it as "uncultured Clostridiales bacterium partial 16S ribosomal RNA". It matches the Rfam family "Bacterial small subunit ribosomal RNA", at positions 74 to 339 of the family's 1533-position model. Lineage: Bacteria; Bacillati; Bacillota; Clostridia; Eubacteriales. The record is from RNAcentral.